This 253-nucleotide ribosomal RNA is filed under the name uncultured bacterium. Its description in RNAcentral is "partial 16S ribosomal RNA". It matches the Rfam family "Bacterial small subunit ribosomal RNA", at positions 524 to 776 of the family's 1533-position model. The record is from RNAcentral.
UACGGGGGGUGCAAACGUUGCUCGGAAUUAUUGGGCGUAAAGCGCACGUAGGCGGUCUCGUAAGUCGGGUGUGAAAGCCCGGGGCUUAACCCCGGAAGGGCACUCGAAACUGCGAGGCUUGAGUAUGGAAGAGGGUCUCGGAAUUCCCGGUGUAGAGGUGAAAUUCGUAGAUAUCGGGAGGAACACCAGUGGCGAAGGCAGCCCCCUGGGCCAAUACUGACGCUCAUGCACGAAAGCGUGGGGAGCAAACAGG